Long non-coding RNA from Episyrphus balteatus (marmalade hoverfly), 898 nucleotides. RefSeq lists it as uncharacterized. The transcript is spliced from 3 exons. Lineage: Eukaryota; Metazoa; Arthropoda; Insecta; Diptera; Syrphidae. The record is from RefSeq and is a predicted model, not a curated record.
AGAUUUUCUUUAACCUUGUCAACCUUGUUUGUUGCAAGAAAAAUUAAUAAAUCUCUACUGUUAAAAAGCUACAGCUUCUAAAAUUAAAUGAAUAAUAUUUUGAACAUCAAGACCAUUAUUUUCACCACACUUUGUUUUCCGUGGGACUUUUUCAAGGAGCAACUUUCUAUGCGUAUGAGCAUAGCUCGUCUUUGACGUGAUUUGAAUUCUUUAGCACGUUCCAGGCUGUUUCACGCGGUUUCAUUUUUACAAUGAUGGUUGCUCCAAGAGUACUGCGGUUACGUAUACAGUAUACUAUAAGACCAGCGCAGAUGAACUUAGCUCAUGCGUAAAUAUAAGCAGGGGAACAGGCAAAAUACUUUUAAUAAAAACGCUGUUGACAUUGGUACUGUUUAGCUAAAACACUGUUGUCAUUGGCGCCUUCCAGACGACUUUACAAACCCUAAGCGGAGCAACGAAGUUGCGUGAGCGGGACAGAGGACCGAAAAAGUAAAGUUAAAAUCCUGAGAACCCGCGAGGCGGGCCAGACAAGGUACUGUUAACCUUAAAAGACUGUUGAUAUUGGCGCCCGCCAGACGUUUUUAGCGGAGCAACGAAGUUUCCUGAGCUGGAAAGAGGUCCCAAAAAGUAAAAUUAAAAUCCUGAGAACCCGCGACCAGGCAAAGUACUUUUCAAAUAUCUAAUAAAAGCUUUUGACAUUGGCGUCUGCCUGGCGAAGUAUCUAGUGUUUUUUCUUGGAGAUACACAAUGCUCUCAACUUACUCUUAAUAUCAAAAACCUUUUUAAUGGUGUCACUGUAAUGCCAAAUUUAUCGAAAACCGUUAACAAUUAAAAAUAUGAUAAAGAAGUAGUUUUCGUGUUUUUCGAUUUUCUCAAAAACUUUAAGGCAUAGAAACAU